Molecule: long non-coding RNA, 829 nt
Filed under: Pongo abelii (Sumatran orangutan)
Lineage: Eukaryota; Metazoa; Chordata; Mammalia; Primates; Hominidae
Description: lincRNA
Source: RNAcentral
CUCAAUUGCACCAGAAGGCCUGGCAGUUAAGAGAACCCAGUGAAGAAACCUUUUGCAGAGAGAGAAAAGAACCCUUUUGAAUGUGAUCAUUCACGCUGAUUUAUUUGGAUGAUUUCUCUUCUGGAUUUCCUUAAACCAGGGAAAACCCAGAGACAGAGGUCUUGCUAUGUUGCCUAGGCUGGUCUCAAGCUCCUGGCCUCAAGUGAUUCUCCUUCCUCAGCCUCCAAAAGUGCUGGGAUUACAGUUGCAACAGUGACCUGUGACGCAGUAGGGAGGGCUGUUUUCCAUGCCCAGUGAGGCCUGCUCAGCUCCCAUGAGGCCUUUAUGGAUGGCCUGCCUCCCAACUGGUACCUGGUCCCAUCACAGUCCCAGGACUCUAGACCUCAAGGCAGCCAGGUGGGUGCUACAGAUGGUGACCUCUCAGUGGCACAGCCUGGCCUUGCAGCAGAAUGCGGGGUUGGGGGCAGGGUGAAGAAUGGAGUCUGGAUUGUGCCAAAACAGGAGUUUCUAUGUCUGGUCCUGCCACCGACUGCACCUGCAUUGCUGCGUGACCUUGACAGCUACUCCUUCCACACCUGAACAUCCUCAUCUGGAAACUGGACUUGCCUUCUAGGGUUCCUGCAAAUAUAAAAUGAGCUAACACCUUUGAGGUGUUUGGUAUUGUCCUGGCACUUGGCAAAUAAUAAUAAAUAUUAGCGAUCACUUGCGAGGGGGUGUGGGGUUCGGGGGAGCUUUGCCCCUCCUUCCCCUCUCCAGGGCUGAGCAGCAGUGAAGAGCUUUCUGCAUAAGAGAGAGCAAGAGAGAAAUAAACCCACAUCUUCCUCUGAAA